Molecule: long non-coding RNA, 692 nt
Organism: Juglans regia (Persian walnut)
Lineage: Eukaryota; Viridiplantae; Streptophyta; Magnoliopsida; Fagales; Juglandaceae
Exons: 3
Source: RefSeq, a predicted model, not a curated record
ACCCUCAAGGCAUCAAACCGCAAGCCUCGUUCAGCUGUCCAACCACCCGCACAGCCAGGCCAGUGCAUUAUUCUCCGCCGAACGCAGUCCUCGCACACGGAACGGCAACCACACAAGUCCACCACUCAAGCCAGGCGCCACCACCCUCUCCGUGUAAACACCAUCUCGGUUGCACCUCCGAAAACAGUAUACCACCCCAGCCCGAAAAUCCCCUGUUUUUAGCCACCCGAAACAGAGGUUCUAACACCAACCCGUUGUACUGCACCAUUCAAGCCAAGCCGUCGCCUCUCGCUCGGGAAGAAGGCACUGGACGCCCACAGACCACCUCGGUCGUAACCACCUUCCACGGUGAGCAUCCCUUUCGGUCUGCACACUUCUUUCUCUCCGCCUCUUGCUCGCUCACCUUACUCUCUCUUUUUCUCUCGUGCUCAGCCCAGCUCGACGGCCUCCCCACUGUGUUCCUGCUUUUUAGUCGCACCGCCACUGUCCCGCCAGCCAGCCAUCGCGCCGUACUCCUCCACACUCGCCUCGGUCUCCUGGGAGUGACGAAUAAAUUUUCUUAGUUCGGCAUUUCUGAGGAAAUUUUCGAAAAGCUAAGAAGUCCAGAUGAUAUUGACUUUCCAGCUGGGGGUCAGGAAUAGAAUUGAAGCGGGCUAGAUAUGGAGGGAAGGAUUGGGUACUUAGAGUACCAU